AUUGAACGCUGGCGGCAGGCCUAACACAUGCAAGUCGAGCGGAUGACAGGAGCUUGCUCCUGAAUUCAGCGGCGGACGGGUGAGUAAUGCCUAGGAAUCUGCCUGGUAGUGGGGGACAACGUUUCGAAAGGAACGCUAAUACCGCAUACGUCCUACGGGAGAAAGCAGGGGACCUUCGGGCCUUGCGCUAUCAGAUGAGCCUAGGUCGGAUUAGCUAGUUGGUGAGGUAAUGGCUCACCAAGGCGACGAUCCGUAACUGGUCUGAGAGGAUGAUCAGUCACACUGGAACUGAGACACGGUCCAGACUCCUACGGGAGGCAGCAGUGGGGAAUAUUGGACAAUGGGCGAAAGCCUGAUCCAGCCAUGCCGCGUGUGUGAAGAAGGUCUUCGGAUUGUAAAGCACUUUAAGUUGGGAGGAAGGGCAUUAACCUAAUACGUUAGUGUUUUGACGUUACCGACAGAAUAAGCACCGGCUAACUCUGUGCCGGCAGCCGCGGUAAUACAGAGGGUGCAAGCGUUAAUCGGAAUUACUGGGCGUAAAGCGCGCGUAGGUGGUUUGUUAAGUUGGAUGUGAAAUCCCCGGGCUCAACCUGGGAACUGCAUUCAAAACUGACAAGCUAGAGUAUGGUAGAGGGUGGUGGAAUUUCCUGUGUAGCGGUGAAAUGCGUAGAUAUAGGAAGGAACACCAGUGGCGAAGGCGACCACCUGGACUGAUACUGACACUGAGGUGCGAAAGCGUGGGGAGCAAACAGG
RNAcentral lists this ribosomal RNA (753 nucleotides) under uncultured bacterium. RNAcentral's name for it is "bacterial SSU rRNA". It matches the Rfam family "Bacterial small subunit ribosomal RNA", at positions 28 to 776 of the family's 1533-position model. The record is from RNAcentral.